Aethalodelphis obliquidens (Pacific white-sided dolphin) is the source of this 1082-nucleotide long non-coding RNA. RefSeq lists it as uncharacterized. The transcript is spliced from 2 exons. The record is from RefSeq and is a predicted model, not a curated record. Lineage: Eukaryota; Metazoa; Chordata; Mammalia; Artiodactyla; Delphinidae.
GUUACACCUGUGCAAACAGACAGCAAUUCUUAUGGAGCUGGGGCUUCGCAACACAUGGUCACUUAGAGAUCCUUCUCACUGCACAAAAAUAAAACUGGCUAAGUACAGACAGCUCCACUCCACAGCAAGGUGGGGCACACACGUGUUGUGUGGACCUUUGGAGAAGAAUCAGGGAAUUAACUUCCCAACCAGCAAAGCAGGUACUGGGACCAAGCCUGACAUCUCAGCCCUCAAAAGAGACGAAAAACAGGUCCCUACCCUGCUGCCUAACAGAGGCCAAUGGAAUAAAUCCCAGGAGAGUCAAGUUUAUCUUAAAUUAAACUGAGCCCAGAGUCCCAUGUGACAUUCCAGCGAGCCCACAGCUAUCAACAGCCCAAGCCCACUGCCAGCUCUCACUUUCUCUGGCCUCCUGACUACUAAGGGCUGGAAACGUUUUCUCAGAAAGAGUCAGCAUCGGGUCCUGCCGAGCCACUCUGUGCUCAGAGCCACGUCCUGCAGCACAGAGGCCCGGGGAGCGAGCAGCUGGGCUGGCUCGGCAACGCCGGGGCCGUGGCGCCACCUCGCGGCUCUGCGGCGCCCAGCCCUCCCAGCGGCGUUCCCGACAGGGCGGCUUACUUAUCCAGGCGGACUGCUUCUGUGUAGGCUCUCCUGGCAUUCUCUGUGUCUUCCAGGUUGGUCAGAGCCACUGCAACAAAGAGAGUGAGUGCAGUGGCUGAAGAGCCCAGCGGAGAAAACACAGGCAAUGUUUCAAGACGGCAGUUCAUUCAGCCGCCAAACCUAACUAACUCCUGCUGUGCCCGCCCAGCUCCUGGCACCACCGUCUGCACAGCCACUCAGCUUGGAUUCCAGAGGACGUGGCUGGGAAGAAGGAACAACAGGAAUGGCCUCUGCCCCAAAGCCCUAGCGGUACCACAGCUUCUCCUCCCACCACAAAAUGCCAGCCCCUCUGACCCCAGUUACUUCUCGUAUGUGUUCUUGCCUUGGUUGGAUAAGAACUGUAAUUGCACUAGGCUCAGAUUUAUUUGCUUCUGAUUUGAAUGCUGAAAAUUAAUUCCUUUAGCAGACAAAGAAUAUCAAAUGCA